This 220-nucleotide unclassified non-coding RNA is filed under the name plant metagenome. RNAcentral's name for it is "partial contains small subunit ribosomal RNA, internal transcribed spacer 1, and 5.8S ribosomal RNA". The record is from RNAcentral.
UUUCCGUAGGUGAACCUGCGGAAGGAUCAUUACAGAGUUCAUGCCCUCACGGGUAGAUCUCCCACCCUUGAAUAUUUAUACCUUAGUUGCUUUGGCAGGCCGUGGAAACACCAUGGGCUCCGGCUUAUGUGUGCCUGCCAGAGGAAACAAACUCUGUUUUUAGUGAUGUCUGAGUACUAUAUAAUAGUUAAAACUUUCAACAACGGAUCUCUUGGUUCCG